Molecule: long non-coding RNA, 1195 nt
Filed under: Homo sapiens (human)
Lineage: Eukaryota; Metazoa; Chordata; Mammalia; Primates; Hominidae
Description: HSALNT0165596
Source: RNAcentral
AAAAGUUGGCUCUCAGAGAGCAAGCCACUGAAGUCAAAUAAGAAUCCUUUUGGAACACUUCAACAGGAAAAGUCCCAUGCUCUGUUGAUGCCUGAUGGAGGAUGAAGUAAAUACCAGCUGGUGUAGAAUGAGUGGAAUAUAAUUACUCUCUACAAAGUUAAGUGAAUAUUAAAAUGCAGAAGUCAUAGGCACUGGUGCUUUUCCCUCCCAACUCCACUGCCCAGUAAACAGUAUCCUGACCUGAUGCUUGGCUUCAAUGCAGCUUACAGCAGGGAUCUCAGUAAAGGGCUUGCUUGUCAGCAAUGUGGAAGCAACUGGGACACAGGCUGCUGAGAAAGGCAGGAAGUCAACCACCUUCCAGGAACGUAUGGAGACUUUCCUGAUGCCUGAGAGCAUGAUAUGGUGAAAAGAAUGCGGCUUUGGACCAGAGACCAAAUGUGACCAGAAUGUGGCUUUGGAGCCAGAGAGACCCAUCUCUGAAAUUUACAAGUCAUGUGACCUUGACGAAGGUCUCUCCCUUUUCUAUACUUCAAUUUGCUUAACUAGAAAAUGGAGUCAUACUGCGUUGUGUGAUUAAAGAACUAUACUUCAGAAAUCACUUGACAAAGUUUUGCAUAGUGACACGCAGGCAGAGAAAACUGCAAAAAGAGCUGUAGAAAGAUUGGGUAAGUAGUCUACACAUGUUAAGGUGAUGGCAGUAGAAAUGCAAAGGAACGGCUGGCAGCCAAGAUGGCUGAAUAGGAACAGCUCCUGUCUACAGCUCCCAGCGUGAGCGACGCAGAAGACGGGUGAUUUCUGCAAUUCCAUCUGAGAUACCGGGUUCAUCUCACUAGGGAGUGCCAGACAGUGGGUGCAGGACAGUGGGUGCAGCGCACUGUGCAUGAGCGGAAGCAGGGUGAGGCAUUGCCUCACUCGGGAAGCUCAAGGACUCAGGGAGUUCCCUUUCCUGGUCAAAGAAAGGGGUGACAGACGGCACCUGGAAAAUCGGGUCACUCCCACCCUAAUACUGCGCUUUUCCGAUCGCCCUGAAAAACGGCGCACCAGGAGAUUAUAUCCUGCACCUGGCUCGGAGGGUCCUACACCCACGGAGUCUCGCUGAUUGCUAGCACAGCAGUCUGAGAUCAAACUGCAAGGCGGCAGCGAGGCUGGGGGAGGGGUGCCCGCCAAUGCCCAGGCUUGCUUAGGUAAAUAAAGC